ACGAAGGGUGCGAGCGUUAAUCGGAAUUACUGGGCGUAAAGCGCGCGUAGGUGGUUUGGUAAGCGAUAUGUGAAAUCCCCGGGCUUAACCUGGGAACUGCAUGUCGAACUGCCAGGCUAGAGUAUGGUAGAGGGCGGUGGAAUUCCGGGUGUAGUGGUGGAAUGCGUAGAGCUCCGGAGGAACACCAGUGGCGAAGGCGGCCGCCUGGGCCAGCCCUGACGCUGAGCCGCGAAAGCGUGGGGAGCGAUCCGGA
This 253-nucleotide ribosomal RNA is filed under the name uncultured prokaryote. RNAcentral's name for it is "partial 16S ribosomal RNA". It matches the Rfam family "Bacterial small subunit ribosomal RNA", at positions 525 to 777 of the family's 1533-position model. The record is from RNAcentral.